CUAUAAUCGCAGCAAUAUCGCAGCAAUCGGGAGGCUGAGGCAGGAGUGCAGUGAGUUCAAGGCCACCUGGAAGUGCCUUGCCUGUCAGUCUCUAAACCAGGAUUAUCCCGCUUCCAUGGAGUAUUGCUGGAGGAGCAGAUCUGAACAGUGAUCUUUUUGGAGGGAUGGCUGGGGAUUGAGCUUGGACCUUGAUAUACUACACAUGUGCUCUGUUGAGCUCACCCAGCUGUCAUCACUGGGCCAGGAGAGGAAGAGAGAAGGACAGCUUCUUCCAGGACCUGCUGGACUCUCCCAGAAUUUAGAAGAUCCCAGGACAAGGCCACAAGCCAUGUACCCAGUCCUGGACCCAGACAUCACAUAGCAAAGGGUAUUUUUUGCAGAGCUCAGGCCACAUUUACAAGAGAACAGUCACACAGUCUGACUGUGAAGGCCAAGUGUCCAUGGUACCUGCCUAGCUGUGCUGAGAACACAGCCAUCUUCCAGCACCCGGGGCUGACUCACAGCUGCUGGGGGGACACCUCCUGCCAACUCCACUGCCUGUGUUCACAUUGCCUGGGAGGAUGCUGUGUGUAUAAAGGCUGUUAGAGCUGGGGUCCAAGCAACCCAUUUUACAGAUGAGGAAACUGAGCCUUAGCAAGGUUAAAUAAUUUGGUUGAGGCCCCAUAACUAUCGUUGCCAGAUGCUUGCAGCUAUGCAACCCUGAAGCCUGAGCUUUUAACUUCCACUCUGCAAAACUUGAUGGGAGCCAGGGCUGGGGAUUUAGUUCAGCGGCAUAAGCCUGCCUUGCAAGGGUGCGGUCAUGAGUUCAAUCCCUGGUACUGAUAAAAAAGAAAAAAAAAAAACUUGAUGGGAGUCAAACUGCUAGACAGUCAGGAAAGGGGAAUGGCUGGAAGGAGGACAGGGACCCUGGCCCUGAGGACCUUCCCCACCCAGUCUCUCCCCACCCCACUGUUUCUGCAAUAGCGCCUUUGCAUGUCCUUCCCCUAAUUAAGACCCUAAUGCCCUGGGUGUGGUGAUGCAAACCUAGAAUCAUACCUACUUGGGAGGCCAAAGCAGGAAGACCCCAAAUUGUGCUCCACACCAGGCGAUUUAGUGACUUAAUGAAACACCUAGUCAGAACACAACAAAACAAAACCCAAAAGGUACAAAGCACUGAGCUGGGCCUGGUGGCAUAUGCCUCUAAUCCCAACUCCUCAGAGGACCAAUUUAGUGGGACUUUUCCUCCAAAAAUAAAUUAAUUAAUUAAAAGGUAGGAGAGCUAGGGCUUUAGCUUAGUGGCAGAAUACCCGAGUUCAAUCCUCAGUACCACAAAAAUGGGAAGGAAGCAGGGUGAGGGAGAGUAAGGGAGAGAGAAAUAAACUGAGGCAAGAUGUGGUCCCUGCCAGCAUGGGAGAUUAUCAUGGUGCAUGGCUCUCCUGGCUCACUGCAUAUGCCCGUUGGGGUUGAGAGGGCCUGGGUGUACCCCAGACCCUUUGUUAACGUAGCUGUGUGUGACUCUGUACAGAGGACCUGGCUUUAGGGACCUGCUCUGUGGCUGCACAAUGGGGUCUGCCUAUUGUGCAUUGCUGCAGGCCAUGGCUGGAUGCCGAGGGCUUGGACCCAAUGCCAGGCCCAUGGUAAGCAUGUGGUGCGUGGCAGAGCUGCCCAAAUGUGCGGCAUGUGUACUCGUGACAGCUGCAUUUUCGAGAUCUCCGAGGCCUUAGCAGCCUCGGAUUCCUGUUCUUUUCAUCGGGCCACACUCCUCUGAUGGAGAAAAAUGCAGAUUUUGGAGGUAGUAAUGUA
Long non-coding RNA from Cavia porcellus (domestic guinea pig), 1782 nucleotides. RefSeq lists it as uncharacterized. The transcript is spliced from 2 exons. NCBI's taxonomy places the organism in Eukaryota, Metazoa, Chordata, Mammalia, Rodentia, Caviidae. The record is from RefSeq and is a predicted model, not a curated record.